GACGAACGCUGGCGGCGUGCCUAAUACAUGCAAGUCGAGCGGAACUGGGGGAGCUUGCUCCUUCCAGUUUAGCGGCGGACGGGUGAGUAACACGUGGGCAACCUGCCCUGCAGAUCGGGAUAACUCCGGGAAACCGGUGCUAAUACCGAAUAGUUUGGCGCCUCUCCUGAGGCGCUACGGAAAGACGGUUUCGGCUGUCACUGCAGGAUGGGCGCGCGGAGCAUUAGCUAGUUGGGGGGGUAACGGCCCACCAAGGCGACGAUGCGUAGCCGACCUGAGAGGGUGACCGGCCACACUGGGACUGAGACACGGCCCAGACUCCUAUGGGAGGCAGCAGUAGAGAAUCUUCCGCAAUGGACGCAAGUCUGACGGAGCAACGCCGCGUGAGUGACGAAGGUUUUCGGAUCGUAAAACUCUGUUGUGAGGGAAGAACACGUACCAACUAACUAUUGGUACCUUGACGGUACCUCACCAGAAAGCCACGGCUAACUACGUGCCAGCCGCCGCGGUAA
This 512-nucleotide ribosomal RNA is filed under the name uncultured bacterium. Its description in RNAcentral is "partial 16S ribosomal RNA". It matches the Rfam family "Bacterial small subunit ribosomal RNA", at positions 28 to 523 of the family's 1533-position model. The record is from RNAcentral.